GAGGGAAAGUUGCAAAGAACUUUGAAGAGAGAGUUCAAUAGGGCGUGAAACCGCUUAGACGCAAACGGGUGGAACUGCAAUGCAGUCUGUAGAAUUCAGCUUACUUUAAAGGGGGUGCCUUGUGACAGAUCGUUUGACUGCCUUCAUGGUUUCACUUCUGCAAGUGAGUGCAUUUUCUGCAGAUGAACGCCACGAUCAAUUACUGCGUCGGCUGAAGGUGGUUGAUUGCCGACUCAGACUUGUCUGAGAGCCCCGUCAACCCAACUGGUCCAGAUUGCAGUGAUUGAACACGUGCCGCACCUGCAUGUCUCAUAGCGUAUUGGUUUUGGUUGGUUUGAAAUUCUAUGUUCAGCAUGCUGGUCAUGGAGACUCCCAUCCAUAACUUUGUACGUUCUUGAGUCGGUGCUUAUGAUCGGUGGCGUCCGUGUCAGUGUCCCACCCGACCCGUCUUGAAACACGGACCAAGGAGUCUAACAUGUACGCAAGUCAUUGGGUGCUAAACCCAAAGGCGCAAUGAAAGUAAAGGCCAAUUUAUUUGGCUUAAGUGAGAUUCUCGGGUAACCGGGACGCAUCACUGUCCCGUCUUAUUCACAUUGCUGAAGAGGCGGAGAAAGAGCGUACACGUUGGGACCCGAAAGAUGGUGAACUAUGCCUGAGCAGGACGAAGCCAGAGGAAACUCUGGUGGAGGUCCGUAGCGGUUCUGACGUGCAAAUCGAUCGUCAGACUUGGGUAUAGGGGCGAAAGACUAAUCGAACCAUCUAGUAGCUGGCUUCCUUCCGAA
This 782-nucleotide ribosomal RNA is filed under the name Tripylina gorganensis. RNAcentral's name for it is "LSU rRNA". It matches the Rfam family "Eukaryotic large subunit ribosomal RNA", at positions 355 to 965 of the family's 3401-position model. Lineage: Eukaryota; Metazoa; Nematoda; Enoplea; Enoplida; Trischistomatidae. The record is from RNAcentral.